This 92-nucleotide ribosomal RNA is filed under the name Paenibacillus odorifer. RNAcentral also lists the same sequence under 3 other names. Lineage: Bacteria; Bacillati; Bacillota; Bacilli; Caryophanales; Paenibacillaceae. The record is from RNAcentral.
CACACGUACCCAUCCCGAACACGACCGUUAAGCCCUCCAGCGCCGAUGGUACUUGGACCGAAGGGUCCUGGGAGAGUAGGACGUUGCCAAGC